UUUAGAACACGAAGUGGUUGAUGCCAUGCUUCCAAGAAAAGCUUCUAAGCUUCAGGUAACCAGGAACCGUACCCCAAACCGACACAGGUGGUUGGGUAGAGAAUACCAAGGCGCUUGAGAGAACUCGGGUGAAGGAACUAGGCAAAAUGGCACCGUAACUUCGGGAGAAGGUGCGCCGGUGAGGGUGAAGCAUUUACUGCGUAAGCUCAUGCCGGUCGAAGAUACCAGGCCGCUGCGACUGUUUAUUAAAAACACAGCACUCUGCAAACACGAAAGUGGACGUAUAGGGUGUGACGCCUGCCCGGUGCCGGAAGGUUAAUUGAUGGGGUUAGCGCAAGCGAAGCUCUUGAUCGAAGCCCCGGUAAACGGCGGCCGUAACUAUAACGGUCCUAAGGUAGCGAAAUUCCUUGUCGGGUAAGUUCCGACCUGCACGAAUGGCGUAACGAUGGCGGCGCUGUCUCCACCCGAGACUCAGUGAAAUUGAAAUCGCUGUGAAGAUGCAGUGUAUCCGCGGCUAGACGGAAAGACCCCGUGAACCUUUACUAUAGCUUUGCACUGGACUUUGAAUUUGCUUGUGUAGGAUAGGUGGGAGGCUUUGAAGCGUGGACGCCAGUCUGCGUGGAGCCAACCUUGAAAUACCACCCUGGCAACUUUGAGGUUCUAACUCAGGUCCGUUAUCCGGAUCGAGGACAGUGUAUGGUGGGUAGUUUGACUGGGGCGGUCUCCUCCUAAAGAGUAACGGAGGAGUACGAAGGUGCGCUCAGACCGGUCGGAAAUCGGUCGUAGAGUAUAAAGGCAAAAGCGCGCUUGACUGCGAGACAGACACGUCGAGCAGGUACGAAAGUAGGUCUUAGUGAUCCGGUGGUUCUGUAUGGAAGGGCCAUCGCUCAACGGAUAAAAGGUACUCCGGGGAUAACAGGCUGAUACCGCCCAAGAGUUCAUAUCGACGGCGGUGUUUGGCACCUCGAUGUCGGCUCAUCACAUCCUGGGGCUGAAGCCGGUCCCAAGGGUAUGGCUGUUCGCCAUUUAAAGUGGUACGCGAGCUGGGUUUAGAACGUCGUGAGACAGUUCGGUCCCUAUCUGCCGUGGACGUUUGAGAUUUGAGAGGGGCUGCUCCUAGUACGAGAGGACCGGAGUGGACGAACCUCUGGUGUUCCGGUUGUCACGCCAGUGGCAUUGCCGGGUAGCUAUGUUCGGAAAAGAUAACCGCUGAAAGCAUCUAAGCGGGAAACUUGCCUCAAGAUGAGAUCUCACUGGAACCUUGAGUUCCCUAAAGGGCCGUCGAAGACUACGACGUUGAUAGGUUGGGUGUGUAAGCGCUGUGAGGCGUUGAGCUAACCAAUACUAAUUGCCCGUGAGGCUUGACCAUAUAACACCCAAGCAAUU
Molecule: ribosomal RNA, 1386 nt
Filed under: Pseudomonas syringae
Lineage: Bacteria; Pseudomonadati; Pseudomonadota; Gammaproteobacteria; Pseudomonadales; Pseudomonadaceae
Description: bacterial LSU rRNA
Rfam family: Bacterial large subunit ribosomal RNA
Source: RNAcentral